GACGUAGGAUGCGAGCGUUAUUCGGAUUUAUUGGGCGUAAAGCGUGCGUAGGCGGCUGUUUAAGUCUGGUGUUAAAGCUAGGGGCUCAACCCCUGUGGUGCAUCGGAUACUGGGCAGCUUGAGUGCGGUAGGGGAAGGUGGAAUUCCGAGUGUAGCGGUGAAAUGCGUAGAUAUUCGGAAGAACACCAGUGGCGAAGGCGGCCCGCUGGGCAGUGGCUGACGCUGAGGCGCGACAGCGUGGGGAGCAAACAGG
RNAcentral lists this ribosomal RNA (253 nucleotides) under uncultured bacterium. RNAcentral describes it as "partial 16S ribosomal RNA". It matches the Rfam family "Bacterial small subunit ribosomal RNA", at positions 524 to 776 of the family's 1533-position model. The record is from RNAcentral.